Molecule: long non-coding RNA, 741 nt
Filed under: Gallus gallus (chicken)
Lineage: Eukaryota; Metazoa; Chordata; Aves; Galliformes; Phasianidae
Source: RNAcentral
CUCGGAUCCUCUUGCUGGCAAAGAAGGCGACCCAUGGGAAGCGGAGGUCGUGUGUGUCCACAAAGACGUUCUGCACGAAGAGGUUGGGGCUGCAGCUGUGGUUGAGGUAGCGGCCCAGGUUCCCCUCCAGUUUGGCGUCGAUGAUAUAGCAGGACUCCUCCCCGUCGUAGAACUGCCGCGUGGUCCUGCACACGGGAGCGCUGUCGCCCUUCUCGGCUGCUGCCAUGUUGGUGGAUUUGAUGGCGAUGCCGUGGGUGGACUUCAGGGCAAACCCCCGCGUGGAUUUCACCGCCACCUGCCUCUUCACGGGCCCUGAACCAGAGGGGUUCUUCUUCUCGUCCCCUUCCUCCUCCUCGGAGCCCGAUGAGAUGGUCUGGAUGUCGUCGCUGUCGUUGGCAGUGCCCUGGGGCUGCCCCUCUGCCUUGGGCCCGUUGUCCCCAUCGCUGUCGGUGCUGCUGGACAGGGUCAGCACGUCCUCGGCGGGGGGCUGCAGGGGGCCCGAGUGGCGCCUGCUCUGCAGCAGCGCUGUUUUGCUGGUGGGUCUGCGCACCCCUUCCAGUUUGGGGGGGCUGGGGUUGUAGCCAUACAUCCUGCCCAGGUCGCUCAGCCCGGGAACCUUGCUCGGAUCUUCAGGCUCAUCCUUCCUCGGCGCCUUCGCCUCUCCGUCCGCUCCCCCCGGGGCAGAAUCGGCCCUGCAGCCUUUGGCCUCCCCUCCUUCGCUCAUCUUGAAGGACGAGGUGC